UAGGGAAUCUUCGGCAAUGGGGGGAACCCUGACCGAGCAACGCCGCGUGAGUGAAGAAGGUUUUCGGAUCGUAAAGCUCUGUUGUUAAGGAAGAACCAGUGUGAGAAUGGAAAGUUCAUACUGUGACGGUACUUAACCAGAAAGGGACGGCUAACUACGUGCCAGCAGCCGCGGUAAUACGUAGGUCCCGAGCGUUGUCCGGAUUUAUUGGGCGUAAAGCGAGCGCAGGCGGUUAGAUAAGUCUGAAGUUAAAGGCAGUGGCUCAACCAUUGUAGGCUUUGGAAACUGUUUAACUUGAGUGCAGAAGGGGAGAGUGGAAUUCCAUGUGUAGCGGUGAAAUGCGUAGAUAUAUGGAGGAACACCGGUGGCGAAAGCGGCUCUCUGGUCUGUAACUGACGCUGAGGCUCGAAAGCGUGGGGAGCGAACAGG
Molecule: ribosomal RNA, 429 nt
Filed under: Bacteroidota bacterium
Lineage: Bacteria; Pseudomonadati; Bacteroidota
Description: Bacteroidetes bacterium partial 16S ribosomal RNA
Rfam family: Bacterial small subunit ribosomal RNA
Source: RNAcentral